GACGAACGCUGGCGGCAUGCUUAACACAUGCAAGUCGAACGGAAAGGCCCUGCUUUUGUGGGGUGCUCGAGUGGCGAACGGGUGAGUAACACGUGAGUAACCUGCCCUUGACUUUGGGAUAACUUCAGGAAACUGGGGCUAAUACCGGAUAGGAGCUCCUGCUGCAUGGUGGGGGUUGGAAAGUUUCGGCGGUUGGGGAUGGACUCGCGGCUUAUCAGCUUGUUGGUGGGGUAGUGGCUUACCAAGGCUUUGACGGGUAGCCGGCCUGAGAGGGUGACCGGCCACAUUGGGACUGAGAUACGGCCCAGACUCCUACGGGAGGCAGCAGUGGGGAAUAUUGCACAAUGGGCGGAAGCCUGAUGCAGCAACGCCGCGUGCGGGAUGACGGCCUUCGGGUUGUAAACCGCUUUCGCCUGUGACGAAGCGUGAGUGACGGUAAUGGGUAAAGAAGCACCGGCUAACUACGUGCCAGCAGCCGCGGUGAUACGUAGGGUGCGAGCGUUGUCCGGAUUUAUUGGGCGUAAAGGGCUCGUAGGUGGUUGAUCGCGUCGGAAGUGUAAUCUUGGGGCUUAACCCUGAGCGUGCUUUCGAUACGGGUUGACUUGAGGAAGGUAGGGGAGAAUGGAAUUCCUGGUGGAGCGGUGGAAUGCGCAGAUAUCAGGAGGAACGCCAGUGGCGAAGGCGGUUCUCUGGGCCUUUCCUGACGCUGAGGAGCGAAAGCGUGGGGAGCGAACAGGCUUAGAUACCCUGGUAGUCCACGCUGUAAACGGUGGGUACUAGGUGUGGGGUCCAUUCCACGGGUUCCGUGCCGUAGCUAACGCUUUAAGUACCCCGCCUGGGGAGUACGGCCGCAAGGCUAAAACUCAAAGGAAUUGACGGGGCCCCGCACAAGCGGCGGAGCAUGCGGAUUAAUUCGAUGCAACGCGUAGAACCUUACCUGGGUUUGACAUGGAUCGGGAGCGCUCAGAGAUGGGUGUGCCUCUUUUGGGGUCGGUUCACAGGUGGUGCAUGGCUGUCGUCAGCUCGUGUCGUGAGAUGUUGGGUUAAGUCCCGCAACGAGCGCAACCCUUGUUCACUGUUGCCAGCACGUUAUGGUGGGGACUCAGUGGAGACCGCCGGGGUCAACUCGGAGGAAGGUGGGGAUGACGUCAAGUCAUCAUGCCCCUUAUGUCCAGGGCUUCACGCAUGCUACAAUGGCUGGUACAGAGAGUGGCGAGCCUGUGAGGGUGAGCGAAUCUCGGAAAGCCGGUCUCAGUUCGGAUUGGGGUCUGCAACUCGACCUCAUGAAGUCGGAGUCGCUAGUAAUCGCAGAUCAGCAACGCUGCGGUGAAUACGUUCCCGGGGCU
RNAcentral lists this ribosomal RNA (1346 nucleotides) under uncultured bacterium. RNAcentral describes it as "bacterial SSU rRNA". It matches the Rfam family "Bacterial small subunit ribosomal RNA", at positions 28 to 1381 of the family's 1533-position model. The record is from RNAcentral.